GGUACAGUAAGCUGAUGAAGGCAAGUUUUCCUCAACCGGUCGGUAAGAGAAUAGUAAUGAUUUAAUAAGGUAAAUAAUUGGGAAGCAACAACAAUGUGAUAUAUCUGUGAGAUUGUGUUUACAACUAGAGUCGAUGUACAAUAUGCGAGAUUCUACUUAUGCAUCGAGUGUAUCGAUGAGUCAAUGACUAACCCAACCACCUACCUAGAGUAGGAAGAGUCUCGGGCAAUUCAUACGUGGUGCCCUGUCUAGGAAAAGAUUCGAGCAAUUGAGAACUCCCUGACUUGCCAAUAAUGGUGUAAUGGUGGCACUACAAACUACCGAGGAGCAUGCAACAAACAACAACGACAAUCAAUUAGUGUUUUAAAUGUAUGGUUGUGCAUCAGGACCACUCAUAAUUGGAUCCAUAUUUAGUGGAGAUAUUCUGUAUAGACGUUUAGGUCACCC
This 447-nucleotide long non-coding RNA is filed under the name Ananas comosus (pineapple). Its description in RNAcentral is "long non-coding RNA (ACOM_LNC036677)". The record is from RNAcentral. Lineage: Eukaryota; Viridiplantae; Streptophyta; Magnoliopsida; Poales; Bromeliaceae.